UUAAGCGACUAAGCGUACACGGUGGAUGCCCUGGCAGUCAGAGGCGAUGAAGGACGUGCUAAUCUGCGAUAAGCGUCGGUAAGGUGAUAUGAACCGUUAUAACCGGCGAUUUCCGAAUGGGGAAACCCAGUGUGAUUCGUCACACUAUCAUUAACUGAAUCCAUAGGUUAAUGAGGCGAACCGGGGGAACUGAAACAUCUAAGUACCCCGAGGAAAAGAAAUCAACCGAGAUUCCCCCAGUAGCGGCGAGCGAACGGGGAGGAGCCCAGAGCCUGAAUCAGUGUGUGUGUUAGUGGAAGCGUCUGGAAAGGCGCGCGAUACAGGGUGACAGCCCCGUACACAAAAAUGCACAUACUGUGAGCUCGAUGAGUAGGGCGGGACACGUGGUAUCCUGUCUGAAUAUGGGGGGACCAUCCUCCAAGGCUAAAUACUCCUGACUGACCGAUAGUGAACCAGUACCGUGAGGGAAAGGCGAAAAGAACCCCGGCGAGGGGAGUGAAAAAGAACCUGAAACCGUGUACGUACAAGCAGUGGGAGCACAGAGCAAUCUGUGUGACUGCGUACCUUUUGUAUAAUGGGUCAGCGACUUAUAUUCUGUAGCAAGGUUAACCGAAUAGGGGAGCCGAAGGGAAACCGAGUCUUAACUGGGCGUUAAGUUGCAGGGUAUAGACCCGAAACCCGGUGAUCUAGCCAUGGGCAGGUUGAAGGUUGGGUAACACUAACUGGAGGACCGAACCGACUAAUGUUGAAAAAUUAGCGGAUGACUUGUGGCUGGGGGUGAAAGGCCAAUCAAACCGGGAGAUAGCUGGUUCUCCCCGAAAGCUAUUUAGGUAGCGCCUCGUGAAUUCAUCUCCGGGGGUAGAGCACUGUUUCGGCAAGGGGGUCAUCCCGACUUACCAACCCGAUGCAAACUGCGAAUACCGGAGAAUGUUAUCACGGGAGACACACGGCGGGUGCUAACGUCCGUCGUGAAGAGGGAAACAACCCAGACCGCCAGCUAAGGUCCCAAAGUCAUGGUUAAGUGGGAAACGAUGUGGGAAGGCCCAGACAGCCAGGAUGUUGGCUUAGAAGCAGCCAUCAUUUAAAGAAAGCGUAAUAGCUCACUGGUCGAGUCGGCCUGCGCGGAAGAUGUAACGGGGCUAAACCAUGCACCGAAGCUGCGGCAGCGACACUGUGUGUUGUUGGGUAGGGGAGCGUUCUGUAAGCCUGUGAAGGUGUGCUGUGAGGCAUGCUGGAGGUAUCAGAAGUGCGAAUGCUGACAUAAGUAACGAUAAAGCGGGUGAAAAGCCCGCUCGCCGGAAGACCAAGGGUUCCUGUCCAACGUUAAUCGGGGCAGGGUGAGUCGACCCCUAAGGCGAGGCCGAAAGGCGUAGUCGAUGGGAAACAGGUUAAUAUUCCUGUACUUGGUGUUACUGCGAAGGGGGGACGGAGAAGGCUAUGUUGGCCGGGCGACGGUUGUCCCGGUUUAAGCGUGUAGGCUGGUUUUCCAGGCAAAUCCGGAAAAUCAAGGCUGAGGCGUGAUGACGAGGCACUACGGUGCUGAAGCAACAAAUGCCCUGCUUCCAGGAAAAGCCUCUAAGCAUCAGGUAACAUCAAAUCGUACCCCAAACCGACACAGGUGGUCAGGUAGAGAAUACCAAGGCGCUUGAGAGAACUCGGGUGAAGGAACUAGGCAAAAUGGUGCCGUAACUUCGGGAGAAGGCACGCUGAUAUGUAGGUGAAGUCCCUCGCGGAUGGAGCUGAAAUCAGUCGAAGAUACCAGCUGGCUGCAACUGUUUAUUAAAAACACAGCACUGUGCAAACACGAAAGUGGACGUAUACGGUGUGACGCCUGCCCGGUGCCGGAAGGUUAAUUGAUGGGGUCAGCGCAAGCGAAGCUCUUGAUCGAAGCCCCGGUAAACGGCGGCCGUAACUAUAACGGUCCUAAGGUAGCGAAAUUCCUUGUCGGGUAAGUUCCGACCUGCACGAAUGGCGUAAUGAUGGCCAGGCUGUCUCCACCCGAGACUCAGUGAAAUUGAACUCGCUGUGAAGAUGCAGUGUACCCGCGGCAAGACGGAAAGACCCCGUGAACCUUUACUAUAGCUUGACACUGAACAUUGAGCCUUGAUGUGUAGGAUAGGUGGGAGGCUUUGAAGUGUGGACGCCAGUCUGCAUGGAGCCGACCUUGAAAUACCACCCUUUAAUGUUUGAUGUUCUAACGUGGACCCGUGAUCCGGGUUGCGGACAGUGUCUGGUGGGUAGUUUGACUGGGGCGGUCUCCUCCUAAAGAGUAACGGAGGAGCACGAAGGUUGGCUAAUCCUGGUCGGACAUCAGGAGGUUAGUGCAAUGGCAUAAGCCAGCUUGACUGCGAGCGUGACGGCGCGAGCAGGUGCGAAAGCAGGUCAUAGUGAUCCGGUGGUUCUGAAUGGAAGGGCCAUCGCUCAACGGAUAAAAGGUACUCCGGGGAUAACAGGCUGAUACCGCCCAAGAGUUCAUAUCGACGGCGGUGUUUGGCACCUCGAUGUCGGCUCAUCACAUCCUGGGGCUGAAGUAGGUCCCAAGGGUAUGGCUGUUCGCCAUUUAAAGUGGUACGCGAGCUGGGUUUAGAACGUCGUGAGACAGUUCGGUCCCUAUCUGCCGUGGGCGCUGGAGAACUGAGGGGGGCUGCUCCUAGUACGAGAGGACCGGAGUGGACGCAUCACUGGUGUUCGGGUUGUCAUGCCAAUGGCACUGCCCGGUAGCUAAAUGCGGAAGAGAUAAGUGCUGAAAGCAUCUAAGCACGAAACUUGCCCCGAGAUGAGUUCUCCCUGACCCUUUAAGGGUCCUGAAGGAACGUUGAAGACGACGACGUUGAUAGGCCGGGUGUGUAAGCGCAGCGAUGCGUUGAGCUAACCGGUACUAAUGAACCGUGAGGCUUAACCUU
RNAcentral lists this ribosomal RNA (2903 nucleotides) under Escherichia coli. RNAcentral describes it as "bacterial LSU rRNA". It matches the Rfam family "Bacterial large subunit ribosomal RNA". The record is from RNAcentral. Lineage: Bacteria; Pseudomonadati; Pseudomonadota; Gammaproteobacteria; Enterobacterales; Enterobacteriaceae.